Molecule: ribosomal RNA, 323 nt
Filed under: uncultured Coriobacteriales bacterium
Lineage: Bacteria; Bacillati; Actinomycetota; Coriobacteriia; Coriobacteriales
Description: bacterial SSU rRNA
Rfam family: Bacterial small subunit ribosomal RNA
Source: RNAcentral
AGUAGUUUGAUCAGUGGCUCGAGGACGAACGCUGGCGGCGUGCUUAACACAUGCAAGUCGAACGGGCACUUCGGUGCUAGUGGCGAACGGGUGAGUAAAGCGCAGGUAAUCUGCCGCAAAGAUGGGGACAACGUUCCGAAAGGGACGCUAAUACCGAAUGUUGUGUAGGAUUCGCAUGGGAGUUUUACUAAAGAUUUAUCGCUUUGCGAGGAGCCUGCGUCCGAUUAGGUAGUUGGUGUGAUAAAAGCGCACCAAGCCGACGAUCGGUAGCCGGUCUGAGAGGAUGAACGGCCACAAUGGAACUGAGACACGGUCCAUACUCC